Molecule: transfer RNA, 85 nt
Filed under: Caldifarciminota bacterium
Lineage: Bacteria; Pseudomonadati; Caldifarciminota
Also listed under: 1 other name
Description: tRNA-Ser
Rfam family: tRNA
About the family: Transfer RNA (tRNA) molecules are approximately 80 nucleotides in length. Their secondary structure includes four short double-helical elements and three loops (D, anti-codon, and T loops). Further hydrogen bonds mediate the characteristic L-shaped molecular structure. tRNAs have two regions of fundamental functional importance: the anti-codon, which is responsible for specific mRNA codon recognition, and the 3' end, to which the tRNAs corresponding amino acid is attached (by aminoacyl-tRNA synthetases). tRNAs cope with the degeneracy of the genetic code in two manners: having more than one tRNA (with a specific anti-codon) for a particular amino acid; and 'wobble' base-pairing, i.e. permitting non-standard base-pairing at the 3rd anti-codon position.
Source: RNAcentral
GGAGGGCUAGUCCUAACUGGUAAGGCGGCGGACUUGAAAUCCGCUGGGUGUUAAACCCAUGGGGGUUCGAGUCCCUCGCCCUCCG